This 253-nucleotide ribosomal RNA is filed under the name uncultured bacterium. Its description in RNAcentral is "partial 16S ribosomal RNA". It matches the Rfam family "Bacterial small subunit ribosomal RNA", at positions 524 to 776 of the family's 1533-position model. The record is from RNAcentral.
GACAGAGGAUGCAAGCGUUAUCCGGAUUGAUUGGGCGUAAAGUAUCCGUAGGUGGUUUUUUAAGUCUUGUGUUAAAUCUUAGAGCUUAACUUUAAAUAAGCAUUAGAAACUGAAAAACUUGAGUAUGAUAGAGGCAGUGGGAAUUCCCGGUGUAGUGGUGAAAUAUGUAGAGUUCGGGAAGAACACCAGAGGCGAAGGCGCACUGCUGGGUCAUUACUGACACUCAGGGACGAAAGCUAGGGGAGCAAAUGGG